CAAGUAAAACAAAGAGCUUCAUUGGCCCAAGGGUGUGCAAGAGAACUGACAAAAUGAAGAUUCAAAAAGACUUUAAUGGCAACUUUGUUAGAAUGUGUUGUGAUUCUUUUGAAAGAAAGAAACUCAUUUGGAUACAUGAAAAAGAAACAAAAAAAAAGAUAUGAAGGAAAUUUUUUAAAAUAUGAAGGAGCAAAAACAGCUGAAACAAGUCAAAUAAGUCUUAGGUUAAACAAAAUAACUGUGCAGUACAAAAUUGGAGUUUUAAUGGACUAUAAUAAAUGAGAGUUGGUGGUAUCACUACUUGGGUCACCAGAGAUAGAGAAAGAAACUGAUUUUUAUUGAACACUCCUAAUGUGCCAACCAUUGUGGGUCUCGCUCUGAAAAUAGCAUGAUGAUGGCUCAGUGCAGCCCCAACCCUCUGGACUCAAGCGACCCUCCCAUCCCAGCCUCCUGAGUAUCUGGGCCCACAGGCACAUGCCACCACAUCCGGGCUGUACAGGAAGCAUGGCUCAGGAGGCCUAAGGACACUUACAACCAUGGCAGAGGGCAAAAAAGAAGAAGAGGGAGCCUUGCCUUGUCAUACCAAGGCUGAAGUGCAGUGGUGCAAUCUCAGCUCACUGCAACCUGCACCUCCUGGGUUCAAGCAAUCCUACCACCUCAGCCUCCCAAGUAGCUGGGAUUAUAAGUGUAUGCCACCAUGCCUGGCUAAUUUUUGUGUUUUUAGUGAAGAUGAUGUUUCACCAUGUUGUCCAGGUUGUUCUUGAACUCCUGACCUCAAAUGAUCCACCCUCCUGAUCCAGCUUACAGAUGUGAGCUACUGUGCCUGGCCCCUUCUACAUUUUUUUUAGAGAUGAGGUCUUUUUGUAUUGACCAGGCUGAGGUGCACGGAUGUAUUAACACUACAGCCUCUUAACUCCUGGCCUUGAGUGAUCCUCCUGCCUCAGCCUCCAGAGUAGCUGGGACUACAGGUCCUAUGCCCAGCAUCCUUCUGCAUUUAUAUUGCAUUUGUCCUUCUGCACCUUACAAAUUUUUUUACUGUACUUUAGUGGAAACUCAUGAAACAGCAGAGAUAAGUUCAUAUGUUCAAUCUGCCUUGUCUAAGGGGAACUUUAUAGCACGUUCUAUAUUGAGAAAUAAUAUGGUCAAAAGCUGAUAACUCUAAGGGUGUGAGAAUAAGAAGCCCACUUUGUAACAGAAACAUGAAAUUUAAAAAUUCUAUAAUAGACAAGCCAUAUAUAUGACUAUUCACUGCUCUGUGAACAAGCGAAAGGUCUGUUGCUAUAGAAAACUGGAUUAUGUGAAUUUUCAAAUACUUGAAAUUACAGGGAAGUCAAUAAAUCAACAUAAGAUAUAAGGGCUUGUCUAGUAAUUUGUGGACGCAGGAUGUAUUGAGUGUAUUUUAUGAAAAUUGCCUUUAGAGAUUAAUUGGCCUCAUUUGGGAGCCUUAAGAAGCAUGCUAUUUAGCGACUCAUUGGAACAGCUCCAGAUUGGA
Molecule: long non-coding RNA, 1492 nt
Filed under: Callithrix jacchus (white-tufted-ear marmoset)
Lineage: Eukaryota; Metazoa; Chordata; Mammalia; Primates; Cebidae
Description: lncRNA (ENSCJAG00000077045.1)
Source: RNAcentral